This 486-nucleotide long non-coding RNA is filed under the name Fukomys damarensis (Damara mole-rat). Its description in RNAcentral is "lncRNA (ENSFDAG00000023938.1)". The record is from RNAcentral. Lineage: Eukaryota; Metazoa; Chordata; Mammalia; Rodentia; Bathyergidae.
UGUGGCUGAACUGAGGCUAGGAGAGCCACCUUCCCCAACACAAAGAGAAUGAAGUGGCAGCAGGAUAUAUCUGGUGGUCAGAGUUUAUGUUUCUACCUCUCUAUCCCCCUUUUCUACUUUCUACAACAGGGCAAAGAAGUAUAAUUCUGCUCAAAAUCUCCCUGGGUGCACAGAAUGAGGUGGAUUCUGAGACUGUCUGAAAUUGUAGAUGGACACACACUCAGGAUGAGCUGAGCUACUCUCUUUUAUGCCAGAAACAAAGCAGAAUUUGAGAGAAAGGCUUGUAUGAACACAAGUGCUGCUCCAAAAGCCAUAGACCCCGAUCAAUAUGUCUUCAAAGAGAUGGGUUCACACAAUCACCUUCUAAUGGAAGUGGGAAACACUGAAGGAGCCAAAUGAAGAGUCUACUUGCAAAGGCUCAAAGAUAAGAGACAAUAUGACUGCUGAACAUUUUAAUGAACAUGAUUCAGACUUUAAUUGGCAACA